UGAGUAACACGUAUCCAACCUGCCGUCUACUCUUGGACAGCCUUCUGAAAGGAAGAUUAAUACAAGAUGGCAUCAUGAGUCCGCAUGUUCACAUGAUUAAAGGUAUUCCGGUAGACGAUGGGGAUGCGUUCCAUUAGAUAGUAGGCGGGGUAACGGCCCACCUAGUCUUCGAUGGAUGGGGUUCUGAGAGGAAGGUCCCCCACAUUGGAACUGAGACACGGUCCAA
This 226-nucleotide ribosomal RNA is filed under the name uncultured bacterium. RNAcentral's name for it is "partial 16S ribosomal RNA". It matches the Rfam family "Bacterial small subunit ribosomal RNA", at positions 107 to 334 of the family's 1533-position model. The record is from RNAcentral.